GUCGAGAAUCUUUCACAAUGGGGGCAACCCUGAUGGAGCGACGCCGCGUGGAGGAUAAGGUCUUCGGAUUGUAAACUCCUGUCAUGCGUGAACAAGGUUGCUUGGAUAAUACCUGAGCAAAUUGAUGGUAGCGCAAGAGGAAGAGACGGCUAACUCUGUGCCAGCAGCCGCGGUAAUACAGAGGUCUCAAGCGUUGUUCGGAAUCACUGGGCGUAAAGGGUGCGUAGGUGGCGUGGUAAGUCAGAUGUGAAAGCCCGGGGCUCAACCUCGGAACUGCAUCCGAUACUGCCAUGCUAGAGUACUGGAGAGGUGACUAGAAUUCUCGGUGUAGCAGUGAAAUGCGUAGAUAUCGAGAGGAAUACCAAAGGCGUAGGCAGGUCACUGGACAGUUACUGACACUGAGGCACGAAGGCCAGGGGAGCGAACGGGAUUAGAUACCCUAGUAGUCC
Molecule: ribosomal RNA, 449 nt
Filed under: uncultured bacterium
Lineage: Bacteria
Description: partial 16S ribosomal RNA
Rfam family: Bacterial small subunit ribosomal RNA
Source: RNAcentral